AUGUCAUCCAGCAAAGGCAGCAGCGCAGUCAUCAACUACAUGCACCGUUUCUUCACCAACUACGGAGUUGGGAAAACACGUGUGUACCUGAAUUGUGAUAAAUGCAGUGGCCAAAACAAGAACAAGUUUGUGCUCUGGCGGACCAUGCACAAGCUCCACCACAAUCUGGACCUUCACUUCCUGAUCACAUGCCACACCAAGUUUUCCCCAACUGGUGCUUCGGACCAUUUUCAUUGCAUUCUUCAAUGCUCUGGAGACUGGUGUUGUCGCAAUGCUGACAUCCUUCCUCCCAUAGAUGGUCUGCCUGUACACGCACCACCUGGAUUGGACACAGCUAGACAAAUGUAUAUUUUUUGAGAAGAUCAGGGAGUUUUGCAACUAAGAGGCUAUGGACAUCACAUGCCCUGCGCCGGAGUCAGGACAGAAACAGGCUCUCCGAAUGUAGAUUCCCUUGUUCAUGCGUGGUUUGGACGGACCAGUCAUCAGCACUAUCUGCAGUGCCUCUAUUCACGACUCUCUCCUAACACACGCCAUAUGUUGCUGCUACUGUUUUAUUUUAUUCUGCUGCUCAGCCACUGAUUGUAUGCAUAUAACUACUCUUGUCUAUCACUGAUAUUGCUCUUGUGCAUACUGUGUAUUUUAUUGAUAUUGACACUAUUUCUGAAAAUCCAAGUAACCAUUUGACUGUACCGCUUACAUCUUCUGUGGAGACCCAUCGACUUAGCAAAAUAUUGAUAUAUAAAAUUAUUAUUGACGUGUGGUCGUAAUGUGAUUUUGUGACCUACCACAAUAUCAUGUGACCGUAUCAAGUGUUCACAACAUAAAUAUAUGGUGCAUGCAUCUGUUUAUGUACAUGUGUACCUCACUCAGGUUUCAACUCAGGUUGCAUGGCCUUAACCUAUGUAUGGAAUACUAUGUGAUAAGUGUGUGUAACAGUAUAUAAAGAAUGCUAAUGAAUGGGUGUGAAGGCAUUUGGGCAGUGGUGUAAAAAUACUUUAAAGUACUACAUCAUUUUUGGGGGAUGUCUGUACAUUACUUUACUAUUUAUAUUUUUGGCAACUUUUACUUCACUACAUUCCAAAAGUAAAUAAACUUUUUACUCCAUACAAUUUCCCUGACACCCAAAAGUACUUGUUACAUUAUGAUGGGAAAAUUGUCUAAUUCAAACACUUAUGAAGAGAACAUCUCUGCUGCAUUUGAUCUGGCAGACUCACUAAACACAUGCUUUGUUUGUAAAUUAUGUCUAAGUGUUUGAGUGUGCCCCUGGCUAUCCGUUAAUAAAAAAUACAAUUGGGCCGUCUGGUUUAAUAAGGAAUUUGAAAUGAUUUUUGCUUUUGAUACUUAAG
This 1346-nucleotide long non-coding RNA is filed under the name Salmo trutta (river trout). RNAcentral's name for it is "lncRNA (ENSSTUG00000023584.1)". The record is from RNAcentral. Lineage: Eukaryota; Metazoa; Chordata; Actinopteri; Salmoniformes; Salmonidae.